GUGUUUUUAUUUUUUAAAAGAAGAUGGUUAUAGAGUAUGUGAGCGAAAUUUGUAUUUUACCUAGAGUUUAAAAGUACUGUGUGGGAAAAUCUAUUUAUUGUUUGAUAAAAUUAGGUUGUUUAGUACCUUUUGUAUUAGGGUUGAUUAAUGUGUGUGUGCAUUAGGGCUAUUUCUCGAUUAAUCUCGGGCUAUUUUCUCUUGGUUUAUUCUCGUUGUAUAGAGUUGGAUAGGGGUUUAUAGGGAUGAAAUAUUAUUCAAGUUAUUUUUUAUCUGGUUCUCUAAGAAAUUUAAUUUUUAGUAUUUGUAUUAGGGCAAUAAGCAGGGAUUAGCUUGUUUAUGUUUCAUAUAGGAUAAUGUUUUUCUUUUGCUUGUUGAGUUGAUAGUGCUAAUUUUUAUGGAGUUAUUAUUGGGCAAGGUUUUAAAAUUAUUUUUUGUUUUUGUUUUAUUAUUGGGGUUAUUUCGUUGACUUUAAGUGUUAUGGGAUAAUGAUUAUAUUAGUAAUAUUUUGUUUUGUAAGAUUAAUUAGAUUUUUGAUUUUUGGGUGAGUAUGGUUUUUAUUGUGAUAUUGAAAUUAGAGUUGAUGAAUUAGGCAAGAUUUGAUUUCUGACUGUUUAGCAAAAACAUUGUUUUUUGUUGAGGUAAAAAAUAAGUUCUGUCCACUGCCACAAGGUGAAGGGCUGCAGUAUUUUGACUGUAUGAAGGUAGCAUAAUCAUUAGCUUUUUAAUUGGAGGCUGGUAUGAAGGUGAAACAGGGGUCUGCUGUUUUUAUUCUAUUUGUUGAAUUUUAUUUUUAUGUGAAAAAUCAUGAUUGGGUUAGAGGGACAAGAAGACCCUAAUAAAUUUUAUUUUUAUUAUUGAUGAGUGUAUAGGUUGUGAUUAGUGCGAUUUUGUUUUAGGAGUUUGACUGGGGCGGUUGUUUAGUGAAACAUAAACUAAUUUUUAACUUUUAAUGGCGGAAUAUUAGACCUGGGGUGUUUAGAUGAGUGUGAAAUUACUGUAGGGAUAACAGCGUGAUUUUAUUUGAGAGUUCUAAUUGACGAUAAA
Molecule: ribosomal RNA, 1044 nt
Filed under: Dicellarius bimaculatus bimaculatus
Lineage: Eukaryota; Metazoa; Arthropoda; Diplopoda; Polydesmida; Xystodesmidae
Description: partial large subunit ribosomal RNA
Source: RNAcentral